UGGUUCUCCAGAAAACAAAGGAAAUUCCCAAUCACAAAGGCUUACUCCUCUGUUCUUCUUGGUGAUUUGAAGGUGGAUAUCUAAAACAUUUGUUGGGUUUCAGUGUCUCAGUUGAUCUUUGGAGCUCGGAUGUGUUUACUCUAAGAUUCUAACCAGAAGACUACUUCUUAAAGGGAGAACCUAGAUUGAACAACCACCAAAUGAAGAAUUAUGGGAAAAGAACCAGCUUCAUUGUCAAACUAAGAUGUUUAGACCACAACAUCAGUAUGAAGGUUGUCUGAGUUAAGAUUUCAGGAGUUUCUGAAUAAAGUGGUUAAUCUUCGGGGGAUUUAUCAUCUAAUCCAGACAAACGCGGAGCUGCCUCCUUUGCUCUCAUGUGAGAGGGGAAGAGUUGGUAUGAAUAAAAGUGAUAACUUGGAUCCAAGAACGGGGAAAUCACGUACAACAAUCAAAGAGCCUAAACUCCUAAGAAGUCACCAGCCCAACAGCAUAAAAGGAGCCGAGA
Long non-coding RNA from Brassica oleracea var. oleracea, 505 nucleotides. RefSeq lists it as uncharacterized. The transcript is spliced from 5 exons. NCBI's taxonomy places the organism in Eukaryota, Viridiplantae, Streptophyta, Magnoliopsida, Brassicales, Brassicaceae. The record is from RefSeq and is a predicted model, not a curated record.